This 465-nucleotide ribosomal RNA is filed under the name uncultured bacterium. Its description in RNAcentral is "partial 16S ribosomal RNA". It matches the Rfam family "Bacterial small subunit ribosomal RNA", at positions 28 to 507 of the family's 1533-position model. The record is from RNAcentral.
GAUGAACGCUGGCGGCGUGCUUAACACAUGCAAGUCGAACGGAAAUGCUCCUGCUUGCAGGGGUACUCGAGUGGCGAACGGGUGAGUAACACGUGGGUGAUCUGCCCUGCACUUCGGGAUAAGCCUGGGAAACUGGGUCUAAUACCGGAUAGGACGAUGUUUUGGAUGCCAUUGUGGAAAGUUUUUCGGUGUGGGAUGAGCUCGCGGCCUAUCAGCUUGUUGGUGGGGUAAUGGCCUACCAAGGCGUCGACGGGUAGCCGGCCUGAGAGGGUGUACGGCCACAUUGGGACUGAGAUACGGCCCAGACUCCUACGGGAGGCAGCAGUGGGGAAUAUUGCACAAUGGGCGCAGGCCUGAUGCAGCGACGCCGCGUGGGGGAUGAAGGCCUUCGGGGUGUAAACGCCUUUCGCUAGGGACGAAGCGCAAGUGACGGUACCUGGAGAAGAAGCACCGGCUAACUACGUG